GCCGGAGUGGUGGAACUGGCAGACGCGCUGGACUCAAAAUCCAGUGGGCGCAAGUCCGUGAGGGUUCAAAUCCCUCCUCCGGCA
RNAcentral lists this transfer RNA (84 nucleotides) under bacterium. RNAcentral describes it as "tRNA-Leu". It matches the Rfam family "tRNA". From Rfam's summary of the family: Transfer RNA (tRNA) molecules are approximately 80 nucleotides in length. The record is from RNAcentral. RNAcentral also lists the same sequence under 2 other names.